Molecule: ribosomal RNA, 440 nt
Filed under: uncultured bacterium
Lineage: Bacteria
Description: partial 16S ribosomal RNA
Rfam family: Bacterial small subunit ribosomal RNA
Source: RNAcentral
CUACGGGCUGCUGCAGUGGGGAAUAUUGCACAAUGGAGGAAACUCUGAUGCAGCAACGCCGCGUGGAGGAUGACACUUUUCGGAGCGUAAACUCCUUUUAUAUAGGAAGAAGAUGACGGUACUAUAUGAAUAAGCGCCGGCUAACUCCGUGCCAGCAGCCGCGCGUAAUAAGGAGGGCGCAAGCGUUACUCGGAAUCACUGGGCGUAAAGAGCGUGUAGGCAGAUUAAAAAGUCAGAAGUGAAAUCCUAUAGCUUAACUAUAGAACUGCUUCUGAAACUCUUAAUCUAGAAUAUGGGAGAGGUAGAUGGAAUUUCUGGUGUAGGGGUAAAAUCCGUAGAGAUCAGAAGGAAUACCGAUUGCGAAGGCGAUCUACUAGAACAUUAUUGACGCUGAGACGCGAAAGCGUGGGGAGCGAACAGGAUUAGAUACCCCCGUAGUC